This 924-nucleotide long non-coding RNA is filed under the name Triticum aestivum (bread wheat). RNAcentral describes it as "long non-coding RNA (TAES_LNC009304)". Lineage: Eukaryota; Viridiplantae; Streptophyta; Magnoliopsida; Poales; Poaceae. The record is from RNAcentral.
UCCCGUACAGUAGCCGAAGCAGAGGAGCAGGAGGAAGAUGCAGCUCACCGAGGGAGGUUGUAGCCAAGGCAGUACUCAGUGGGUGCCAGAGUUGCGGUUGAACGACGUCCAACCGGCGAGGAACCACUUCCUACACUCCUGAACCGGCAUAAAAAGAAGCAGGAGCUCAUCAUUUCCCAUUGCUCCUGAAAAAAUUGUAAAACAAACAAAAAUUAAUGCUUUGUGACUGACCAGCAAGAAUUAGAAAACUAAUUCUUAUAACCGAAGGUGCUCUGAACCCAAAUCUUUUCUUCAUAAACAUGGAGAAACUCUCAUCAACAGAGUAAGCUCGCGACAUAUAAAAAAAAUAUUAUAAGAAACAACACCAGAUAUAAGCUAACAAAAUUAAGUUUAGAAUAUACCCUAGCAAAUCAAUAACUGUACAAAAAUAUUGUGGGCUAAAUGGAAUUCAUAUAGGCCACUAACUAAACUGAGAGGAACCAAACUUUUAUAUUUUGACCAAUUUUUCCACAUUAGUCUGAAGCUCUUGUUAUUUUAUUUAUCCAAAUUAAGACUGUCAUUAUUUAAACCGGAUAUUCUUAAGCCUCUAUCUGAUUUAAGCCCAGAACAUAAAAUUAGAUGGCAAAAAUCAUGCAUGGACUGAACUCUUCAGCAAAAUAAUAUAUGUCUAUUCAAAGCUAUAUGUUUUCAGAUUGUUUAGGAUUAUUUUAACUGCUUUUGACAUCUUUGUGCUUGCUUGGCAUUUGGAUUCGGUGUACUGAAUUGAUACUUUGCACAUAUAUAAUACAUCUUUGUAUUUACUUUACAGAAGUACCUCAUUGGCUCCUAUUACCAAGACCGAUAAGAAUUUGGGCAGCUAUGAGAUGGAUAAUUUUUUGAACUUACUGAUGACAGGGAGGUUCAUUUCAAGGUCAAGAAGCUUAA